ACUCCUACGGGAGGCAGCAGUAGGGAAUCUUCCACAAUGGGCGCAAGCCUGAUGGAGCAACACCGCGUGAGUGAAGAAGGGUUUCGGCUCGUAAAGCUCUGUUGUUAAAGAAGAGCACGUAUGAGAGUAACUGUUCAUACGUUGACGGUAUUUAACCAGAAAGUCACGGCUAACUACGUGCCAGCAGCCGCGGUAAUACGUAGGUGGCAAGCGUUAUCCGGAUUUAUUGGGCGUAAAGAGAGUGCAGGCGGUUUUCUAAGUCUGAUGUGAAAGCCUUCGGCUUAACCGGAGAAGUGCAUCGGAAACUGGAUAACUUGAGUGCAGAAGAGGGUAGUGGAACUCCAUGUGUAGCGGUGGAAUGCGUAGAUAUAUGGAAGAACACCAGUGGCGAAGGCGGCUACCUGGUCUGCAACUGGCGCUGAGACUCGAAAGCAUGGGUAGCGAACAGGAUUAGAUACCCUGGUAGGAUAGCG
RNAcentral lists this ribosomal RNA (473 nucleotides) under uncultured bacterium. RNAcentral describes it as "bacterial SSU rRNA". It matches the Rfam family "Bacterial small subunit ribosomal RNA", at positions 335 to 801 of the family's 1533-position model. The record is from RNAcentral.